GCAAAGUCAAAGGCCCGGUUCUUUUAGAUCGGAUGGGAGGAGAGGCCCUACAAUGCCCUAAUGCGCCCCCACAGCCAUGUUAGGAACAGGAGGAGAACCUCAUCCUAACAUGAGCAAAGUCAAAGGUACGGUUCUUUUAGACCGAAUGGGGGGAGAGGUCUUAUAGCGCCCUUAUGUGCCCCCACAGCCAUGUUGGGAACAGGAGGAGAACCUCGUCCUAACAUGAGCAAAGUCAAAGGCCCGAUUCUUUUAAACCGGAUGGGGAGAGAGGCCUUAUAGCGCCCUUAUGUGCCCCCACAGCCAUGUUGGAAAUAGGAGGAGAACCUCAUCCUAACAUGAGCAAAGUUGAAGGCCCAAUUCUUUUAGAUUGGAUGGGGGGAGAGGCCCUUGCAAUGACCCUUAUGUGCCCCCACAGCCCCAUUGGGAACAGGAGGAAAACCUCAUCCUAACCUGAGCUGAGAUCGACUACGUCAAGAACAGAAGGAGAACCUUGUCCUGACGAUGACAAAAACCCGAUAGUCCAAC
This 525-nucleotide long non-coding RNA is filed under the name Elaeis guineensis (African oil palm). RNAcentral's name for it is "long non-coding RNA (EGUI_LNC055506)". The record is from RNAcentral. Lineage: Eukaryota; Viridiplantae; Streptophyta; Magnoliopsida; Arecales; Arecaceae.